AUCAACUGGGGAUCUUGUUAAAAUGCAGAUUCUGAUUGAGUAAAUCUGGGGCGGAGCUGAGAUACUGCAUUUCUAACAAGUUCCCAGGUAAUG
RNAcentral lists this microRNA precursor (93 nucleotides) under Dasypus novemcinctus (nine-banded armadillo). Its description in RNAcentral is "miRNA (ENSDNOG00000029790.1)". Lineage: Eukaryota; Metazoa; Chordata; Mammalia; Cingulata; Dasypodidae. The record is from RNAcentral.